Molecule: ribosomal RNA, 776 nt
Filed under: uncultured Neocallimastigales
Lineage: Eukaryota; Fungi; Neocallimastigomycota; Neocallimastigomycetes; Neocallimastigales
Description: partial large subunit ribosomal RNA
Rfam family: Eukaryotic large subunit ribosomal RNA
Source: RNAcentral
UACGACUACAUAUCAGGCAUAUCAAUAAGCGGAGGAAAAGAAACUAACUAGGAUUCCCUCAGUAACGGCGAGUGAAGCGGGAAGAGCUCAAAUUUGAAAUCUUCAAGGUUCUACCUUGACGAAUUGUAGUUUAAAGAAGUGUUUUCUGUUGGAGUUUUGGUAAAAGUUCUUUGGAAUAGGACAUCAUAGAGGGUGAGAAUCCCGUAUUUGACCAUUAUUUCCAACUUUGUGAUACACUUUCAAAGAGUCGGAUUGUUUGGGAAUGCAGUCCAAAAUGGGUGGUAAAUUUCAUCUAAAGCUAAAUACUGGCGAGAGACCGAUAGCGAACAAGUACCGUGAGGGAAAGAUGAAAAGAACUUUGAAAAGAGAGUUAAACAGUACGUGAAAUUGUCAAAAGGGAAGCGUUUGACACCAGUGUUGUUUUCUCGAAAAUCAAUUAAAAAUAGAUUGGAUUUUGUGUUGUAUUGACCUUAUAAGCUUUCUGCACUUUUUUCAUGUUUAUUUUUAAUGCACUUUUCGUUUAACAAGUCAACAUCAAUUUCUUUUGUUGUAAAAGGUCAUUGGAAGGUGGCUUUCUUUUCGGAGAAAGUGUUUAUAGCCUUUGACUCCUGCAAUCGGAGAGACUGAGGUCUGCAGCGUAGAUCCUUCGGGAUUAGAUGCAUUUGUGCUAAGUUAUAGCCUUUUCAUAGACAACUUGUUGACUAUGAUUAGUCAUUGUAGCUUACUCGCUUAUGUAUUUUACCUACGCUUAGGAUGUUGACGCGCGUGUGUGCGUG